This 322-nucleotide ribosomal RNA is filed under the name uncultured microorganism. RNAcentral describes it as "bacterial SSU rRNA". It matches the Rfam family "Archaeal small subunit ribosomal RNA", at positions 330 to 648 of the family's 1478-position model. The record is from RNAcentral.
GUGCAGCAGGCGCGAAUACUCCGCUAUGUCGGAAACGACGACGGGGGAAUCCUGAGUGCCUGCACUAUUGUGCAGGCUUUUGUCGAGACUAGAAACCUCGGCGAAUAAGGACUGGACAAGACCGGUGCCAGCACCCGCGGUAACACCGGCGGUCCAAGUGGUAGCCACGAUUACUGGGUUUGAAGCGUCCGCAGCUGGACUGCUAAAAUCCUGGGUCAAAAUCCUGGAGCUUAACUUCAGGGUCGCCUGGGGACACUGACAGUCUCGGGACCGGGAGAGGACAAGGGAACCCCAUGGGUAGGGGCGUAAAAUCCUAUAAUCC